Molecule: long non-coding RNA, 1672 nt
Filed under: Nicotiana tabacum (common tobacco)
Lineage: Eukaryota; Viridiplantae; Streptophyta; Magnoliopsida; Solanales; Solanaceae
Description: long non-coding RNA (NTAB_LNC003705)
Source: RNAcentral
CCACACUAAAAUAACAAAACAAGUUACCAAAUUUAAGUUACAAGAUUUUGGUCUUAAAAUCCAACAAGCCUCCAAAUAACAUACAUAAAUGUGACAUAUAUAUAUAUAUAUAUCAUGUACAUGUCCCAAAACUAUGCAAAAUCAAGGUACAUAUGCAAAUGUGAUCUCCGUAAGUUCUCCCAAAUAGAGUACUUCAUCAUGGCCAUCUUCAAAUUUCAUCCCGAACAUUACCUACGAUAGGAAACAACUAUUGCUAAGCAUAAAGCUUAGUGGUGUAUAAACUUUAGGCUUGGAGUCAUUAAAUUCUCCAAUUCCCCUUUUCAGUCAUAGUUAACUCAAUUUAACAUAAUUUAAAACAAGUGAACAAAUAUAUCAAACAUAUCAAUAUCAAACUUUGAAGUGUUUCCAAAUAUCAAUAACAAUGUUCAAGAGUCAAGAAAAUGUAUACUAUCAAUCUAAGAGAGUAUACCAAAUAUCUAUUUUUCGCUCAAUAUGUACGUCAUGCCAUCACACUAAGCAUAAUCAGAUAUCAAGAUGGAUCGAAGCCCCAAAUCAAGUAGGGUCAAAACCCAAUAGACAAGAGAAUCAAGAACCAUAUUAAAAAUGGCUUCCUAAUUCGUACUUAACACGGAAAAGUUCCAUAAUUCAAGACGAACUACAAAUCCAAAGUCAAGAUGGCAAAAGAUCCGAAUCAAGAGGCAUGCCAAGAUGAGUGACAAAGUCACUGCCACAAGAAGGAUAAAGUCCCAACAAGAAUGCAAAAUGAUCAAACAAUCCGUACGAAUGGGUGAUUUAACAAAUAUCUUACAAUACUUGAUAUAAUACGAAUAUAACAAUAUAAAUUGAAGACAAGAAAAAUAAAAUAUCAGGUUAUUUCAAAAUAUUGCAGCAAGAAAAAAGAGUACAAGUUUAUACACAAACCUUGGUGUUUUACCACAAAACAGUUCAAUCACAACUUGGGGACGUUUGAAUCGUCUACGCCGUAAACAAACCAAAUCUGUCCACUUCCUCAAACACUUCCCCUCUGAUUUUUCAAGGGUUUAUAUACCUUAAAUACAUAAUGAAAUAUCUAAAUAAGUUCAGUGAUUUAACAUGUCAAACUAAACAUGAUAUUGGUAAAUUACCCAAAAAUGUUUGAAACAGAAAUUCUGGACAGUAUCACUGUUUCGUGUUGUGACUCAGUUUGGAAGAUCUAUACAGACAAACUAGACUGUAUAGUCUUCAUAAUAGUUGUAGAUCUAUGCCUUAGCGUUUCAGAACAUCUUGAAUCACCCCCAUAUCAAUUUUGUACAGAAAGUUAUACUAAAAUUACUAACAGUAGUACAUGGAGUAUUUCUAAAACUGGAAAUCUGGGCAACACUUGCCCUGUACUUUCUGAUCCUUUUUCAGGUAAAUACCAACAAAGCUAGAUUUUGAUUCCUUCAUAAGAGUUAUAGAUUUGUGAAGUACCUUUCCAGAAAGUCCUGGCUCACUUAAAUCGGAGCUCUGUAUAAAAAGAGUUAUAGAAAAUACUAAUAGAUGUCUAGUGUAAAAACGAGUUUAGAAACUUACCACAAAAGAGAGUAGCAACUUGAUCUUCACCAAAAACGAAAUUUGCUUGUUGAUUUAGUAGAAAUCUAUGGUUGAUUCAUGUUCAGAUGCUAAGAAGGAGAGAGAGAGAGAUUCUUCUUUG